RNAcentral lists this long non-coding RNA (281 nucleotides) under Setaria viridis. RNAcentral describes it as "long non-coding RNA (SVIR_LNC009582)". Lineage: Eukaryota; Viridiplantae; Streptophyta; Magnoliopsida; Poales; Poaceae. The record is from RNAcentral.
UUGGGUUUGGAUGCUUCUCACUUGGCUUAUUAGGCUGCCAUUCGGGUGGCAUCAGUUGUCUGCUUUUGAUGAGACGGUAAUUAGUAGUGGAAGUCGUAACAACUUUGAUGAUAACUUCUUUAAUUAAUGUACCGUCCAAGAAAGAUAGCUCCGAUUGCUGUUAGAACUUAGAAUACGGUCGGAUUAAGAACAACAACAAAUAACAAGGUGGCGUGGUUAUGUUAAGAUGGUAAUAGAUGGACAACUAUAAGGCUAGCCAGCAGAAAUUAGUUUCUACUCCC